GGAUUAGAUACCCUGGUAGUCCACGCCGUAAACGAUGGACACUAGUUGUUGGGCAUUAGCUCAGUGACUAAGCGAAAGUGAUAAGUGUCCCACCUGGGGAGUACGAUCGCAAGAUUGAAACUCAAAGGAAUUGACGGGGGCCCGCACAAGCGGUGGAGCAUGUGGUUUAAUUCGAUGAUACGCGAGGAACCUUACCAGGGCUUAAAUGUAGUGGGACAGGUCUAGAGAUAGACUUUUCUUCGGACUCAUUACAAGGUGCUGCAUGGUUGUCGUCAGCUCGUGCC
RNAcentral lists this ribosomal RNA (284 nucleotides) under uncultured bacterium. Its description in RNAcentral is "partial 16S ribosomal RNA". It matches the Rfam family "Bacterial small subunit ribosomal RNA", at positions 775 to 1066 of the family's 1533-position model. The record is from RNAcentral.